This 517-nucleotide long non-coding RNA is filed under the name Setaria viridis. RNAcentral describes it as "long non-coding RNA (SVIR_LNC005713)". Lineage: Eukaryota; Viridiplantae; Streptophyta; Magnoliopsida; Poales; Poaceae. The record is from RNAcentral.
GUGAGUUUGCGACUCAGGGUAUUGUAAAUAUAAAUGAAGAUGUAAAGAAGCGGCAUCAUGGGUGGACAGAGACUCUUCGUGAGUUGCAUGUCCUCCAGCGUGCCUAUGCCAGUGGAUCAAUUAUCUCAAUCAAGUGGAGAUUUGCUUCCUGCUCUUGCUGUGGGAGGAGUCACGGAGAUACAAGCAUUACUACUUGGUGGUGUGGGUGAAAAGAUAUUUCAUACGCAAUGCAACUCAGCGAAGAAGCAUCCAUCGUUUGGAUUUUUUUUGAAACAUAGAUGCACGCGUGCAGUGCGUCUAUAUAGAGUGCUUUGGCGUCCUGAUGUUUUCCUUUUAGCAGUAGCUAGAACCUGUAAGAUCAGUGCUUGACUUUAUGUAGUGGAGUCAGAACGGUAUUAUAUUACGUAGUGUGUGAAUCAAAUGUGAAUUGCUUAGUAAAAAGUACUUGCAAUAUGUAAAACAUGCAAAUCACUAUCUUGGUUCGAUCGUUUGCGAAACAGUGUAAAAUAGAGUAGUA